UUCUCAUGUGCAAUAAUUUACUCCAAUUAAGAAAUGUUGGAUCGAUGAGAUCUGGAGCAUACAACUACCGAAACAGUAGAUUUUAGUUCGUACAUGGCUCUGAACUGUAUUCAGAAACGACAGCUGCUGUUCCUGUACUGUUCAGAAUUCAGAACCAGAUCGUGUGAUGUUUCAAACCUUUGCCAACACCGAACAGACAGGCUGCAUUUUUUGAGUCUCUGACAUGUCGUCCGGCCACCUGAAUGUAAUCACUACAGUUUAUACAUCUCAAAACAGUUUCUUCGCCA
RNAcentral lists this long non-coding RNA (287 nucleotides) under Setaria italica (foxtail millet). Its description in RNAcentral is "long non-coding RNA (SITA_LNC001631)". Lineage: Eukaryota; Viridiplantae; Streptophyta; Magnoliopsida; Poales; Poaceae. The record is from RNAcentral.